Molecule: ribosomal RNA, 245 nt
Filed under: uncultured archaeon
Lineage: Archaea
Description: partial 16S ribosomal RNA
Rfam family: Archaeal small subunit ribosomal RNA
Source: RNAcentral
CCACAAGUGGUCAUCACGAUUAUUGGGCCUAAAGCGUCCGUAGCUGGUGCGGUGCAUCCCUUGUGAAAUUGUUCGGCUUAACCGAACAGCGUGCAGGGGACACGGCCGCGCUCGAGAUUGGGAGGGGGUAGAAGUAUUCCAUAGGGACCGGUAAAAUGGGAUAAUCUAUGGAGGACUACCGAUGGCGAAGGCAUCUACCCAGAACAAAUCUGACAGUGAGGGACGAAAGCCAGGGGAGCGAACCG